UUAACUGAAAUGCUGAAAUUAGUUUCAAGCAAUAAUAAAAAAUGUAGCUUACCAGGUGUUGUAACUAAUUCUAAUAAAAUUCAGUUUACUAAAAUGUUGAAAAUCAAUGUACCACAGCCUUCUUGUACCCUGGUAACGUUAACACUUGAUUUUAAAGUGUCUACAUAAGAGUGAGCCUUAUUAGCAUGGCGCACAUCAUGAACUUUAAUGACACUUAUGUUUAUGACUGGUGUCAUUAAGUGUAUUUAUUUGUUUUUUUGUAAUGUAAAGUUGACACUGGGAUGCAGACAUUACAAGAACCAAAUUAUUUAAUAUAUUACAAUCAUGAUAUUAUCUCACAACACCAAUAACGGUUUGUGUAAAGCUUUGUUUUUCACUUUGUUCCCAUUCUUGACAGAUAGCUUUAGUGAGGCAAGGUUGAAACUUCGCCGGGCAGAAGAUGACCCAGACCUCCAGUCAGAAGCAGAGGAGGGGAGGCCAGCAAAAAGAUAAACCAGACCAAACCAGCACUUCCUCUCGAGUCAGGAGGAGUCUGAUGAGGAGUUUGUGAAGCGCAAACCAGUCCUCCCUAAGGUGCCCUCCAUUCCACAUCUGCCGUUACUGUUGCGUGAUGCCAUUUCCUCAUGAGAUGAAAUCUCUCCGCCAGCUAGUCAACCUUGCCUCUCUGCAGCCGUUUCACGCCCUUGGACCUCCUGAGAUCCUACCAUCUUCCCCCCUCAGCCAUCUCGCCACCAUGAAACUCCUGAGCCAUUCCAUCUCGUCCCUAAUGCUGCUUCUGAGAUGGACCUGCACUCUGCAUUACUACGAGAGAUCAUUGCCAAGAAGGAGGUGAUGUGUGAUAUGCAAAGAAAUUUGCUGCGGAUUGUUCAGGAUCUCUCUUCUACACCUACACCACAUGGAUGGAAGUUUCCUGGCGUUGAGGGAUGCUGAGGUUCUAUUGUCGCUGGACUGUGAAAUUAAAACAAAGCCAGAGACGAGAAGGGCUUGGUGCUGACACUGGGCCUUGCUGGGGGCGUGACCCUCAAGGACACUGUGUGGAGGGUCAUGAAGAUGAUGCUUUAGAACGACUUGGCCUGCAAAAUAAAUUGGACAGGCCUCCAUGGCAAAACAUCAUUUCAGGGCCUAUAAGUCAAGAAUGUUGUCACAGCCAUUCAGAGAAAUCCUGGUUGCAGAGAAGCUACGAACCAGGAGGUGGAGCAAUGGUUGGAG
Molecule: long non-coding RNA, 1209 nt
Organism: Carassius auratus (goldfish)
Lineage: Eukaryota; Metazoa; Chordata; Actinopteri; Cypriniformes; Cyprinidae
Exons: 5
Source: RefSeq, a predicted model, not a curated record